Molecule: small nuclear RNA, 163 nt
Filed under: Dasypus novemcinctus (nine-banded armadillo)
Lineage: Eukaryota; Metazoa; Chordata; Mammalia; Cingulata; Dasypodidae
Description: U1 spliceosomal RNA (ENSDNOG00000039093.1)
Rfam family: U1 spliceosomal RNA
About the family: U1 is a small nuclear RNA (snRNA) component of the spliceosome (involved in pre-mRNA splicing).
Source: RNAcentral
AUACUUACCUCGGAAGGGAGAUAUCAUGAUCAUGAAGGUGGUUUUCCCAGGGCGAGGCUCAUCCAUUGCACUCCAGAUGUGCUGACCCCUGCAGUUUCCCCAAUGUGGGAAACUUGACUGCACAAAUUAUGGCAGUGGGGGACUGUGUUCAUGCUAUCCCCUU